Molecule: ribosomal RNA, 500 nt
Filed under: Staphylococcus aureus
Lineage: Bacteria; Bacillati; Bacillota; Bacilli; Caryophanales; Staphylococcaceae
Description: partial 23S ribosomal RNA
Rfam family: Bacterial large subunit ribosomal RNA
Source: RNAcentral
GCUUGCUUGUUGGGGUUGUAGGACACUCUAUACGGAGUUACAAAGGACGACAUUAGACGAAUCAUCUGGAAAGAUGAAUCAAAGAAGGUAAUAAUCCUGUAGUCGAAAAUGUUGUCUCUCUUGAGUGGAUCCUGAGUACGACGGAGCACGUGAAAUUCCGUCGGAAUCUGGGAGGACCAUCUCCUAAGGCUAAAUACUCUCUAGUGACCGAUAGUGAACCAGUACCGUGAGGGAAAGGUGAAAAGCACCCCGGAAGGGGAGUGAAAUAGAACCUGAAACCGUGUGCUUACAAGUAGUCAGAGCCCGUUAAUGGGUGAUGGCGUGCCUUUUGUAGAAUGAACCGGCGAGUUACGAUUUGAUGCAAGGUUAAGCAGUAAAUGUGGAGCCGUAGCGAAAGCGAGUCUGAAUAGGGCGUUUAGUAUUUGGUCGUAGACCCGAAACCAGGUGAUCUACCCUUGGUCAGGUUGAAGUUCAGGUAACACUGAAUGGAGGACCGAACC